GAAUAAACGGGAUGGAAGCGGCAUCCCCCGAUCCUUCAUCGGGGAUAUAGCGAACAGCCCGACCGGAU
RNAcentral lists this small RNA (68 nucleotides) under Pedobacter alluvionis. Its description in RNAcentral is "Flavo-1 RNA". It matches the Rfam family "Flavo-1 RNA". The record is from RNAcentral. Lineage: Bacteria; Pseudomonadati; Bacteroidota; Sphingobacteriia; Sphingobacteriales; Sphingobacteriaceae.